GCAGAAUCCAACAAUUAAGGACAAAAGAAAUUUCGUUAGUGAGAGUUCAAUGGAGGAACCAUAAUGUCGAAGAAUCAACUUGGGAAAAAGAAGAGGAAAUCAAGACCAAGUAUCCAGAACUUUUCAACUAAGUUCAAGGUAAUUUCGAGGACGAAAUUUUUUUUAAGGGAGGAGGGAUGUAAUACUCUGAAAUUUUAUGCUCGUUUAAAUUUU
Molecule: long non-coding RNA, 213 nt
Filed under: Olea europaea (common olive)
Lineage: Eukaryota; Viridiplantae; Streptophyta; Magnoliopsida; Lamiales; Oleaceae
Description: long non-coding RNA (OEUR_LNC015236)
Source: RNAcentral